RNAcentral lists this ribosomal RNA (902 nucleotides) under uncultured archaeon. Its description in RNAcentral is "bacterial SSU rRNA". It matches the Rfam family "Archaeal small subunit ribosomal RNA", at positions 1 to 879 of the family's 1478-position model. The record is from RNAcentral.
UUCCGGUUGAUCCUGCCGGACCCUACUGCUAUCGGGGUGGGACUAAGACAUGCAAGUCGUGCGUCUCUAAGCCAUGGUAGAGACGCGGCGUACGGCUCAGUAACACGUGGUUAACCUACCCUUAGGACGGGGACAACCCCGGGAAACUGGGGCUAAUUUCUGAUAGGUGAGGAGGCCUGGAAUGGUUCUUCGCCGAAAAGGCGUUGAAACCACGCUUUUCAACGUCGCCUAAGGAUGGGGCCGCGCCCGAUCAGGUUGUUGGUGAGGUAACGGCUCACCAAGCCUAUAACCGGUACGGGCCGUGAGAGCGGGAGCCCGGAGAUGGGCACUGAGACAAGGGCCCAGGCCCUACGGGGCGCAGCAGUCGCGAAAACUCCGCAAUGCGCGAAAGCGUGACGGGGCUACCCCGAGUGCCGUCCGCUGAGGAUGGCUUUUCCCCGGUGUAAUGAGCCGGGAGAAUAAGGAGAGGGCAAGACUGGUGUCAGCCGCCGCGGUAAUACCAGCUCUCCGAGUGGUAGGGACGAUUAUUGGGCUUAAAGCGUCCGUAGCCGGCUUAGCAAGUCCCCUGUUAAAUUCAGCGACUCAAUCGUUGAGCCGCGGGAGAUACUACUAGGCUAGGAGGCGGGAGAGGUCGACGGUAUUCCCGGGGGAGGGGUGAAAUCCUAUAAUCCCGGGAGGACCACCAGUGGCGAAGGCUGUCGGCUAGAACGCGCUCGACGGUGAGGGACGAAAGCUGGGGGAGCGAACCGGAUUAGAUACCCGGGUAGUCCCAGCUGUAAACGAUGCGGGCUAGGUGUUGAGGUGGCUACGAGCCACUUCAGUGCCGCAGGGAAGCCAUUAAGCCCGCCGCCUGGGGAGUACGGCCGCAAGGCUGAAACUUAAAGGAAUUGGCGGGGGAGCAC